UGCUGGCACCAGUGCUAUAUUUUCUCAUUUAAACAGUUAUUUAACAGAAUUCUUCUGUGAUAAUACUCAAAGUUGAAUUUUUAUCAUCUACAAACUGUUAGUGUUAAAAGACAGAUGGCUGUGGAUGCAUUUAUUGGUAUAAUAAAUAACACAAUCGGCAACGGCACAUCUCCUUGUUUUCUUUUGUUUGCGCAAGUCAGUGUAAGUGAGUACCAUUCGGUAUAGCUUUCAUGCGAAACAAUAUCGUAAAUAAGAUUGUGUUAAACGUUGUGUUGUUUAUUAACAUUUGUUGGUGCAUUCACCGUUUUGUGAAUUAGCAGCCGCAUAUAUGGAAAUUGACAUACAAGAUGUAACUACAGUAGAAAAUCGUCAGAAAUGUAGAAUAUCACUGGAUGGAAAAGGGACCUAUACUGAAUCACCUAUACGGGAUCACUGGAUGGAAAAGGGUUCUAUAUGAAGUUGAAAUUUAAGUAGAUAUUAUUUGAGUUUAAUCGUAAUUCGACGAAUAAAAUCUUGAAAAACUGAUGUUCAACAUACUAUGCACAUUUUUUCUUCAAUUAAUUUCAAAAUUUCAGUGGUUUAUUAAUAGUGCAACUGAUAUCAAAAUAACAAUUACUUUAUUUACUUUUAAUGUCACUCUUUCUAAUAAGUUAAAAUUUUAAUGUUGUUUUGUUUAGU
This is a long non-coding RNA of Agrilus planipennis (emerald ash borer), 678 nucleotides long. RefSeq lists it as uncharacterized. The record is from RefSeq and is a predicted model, not a curated record. The transcript is spliced from 3 exons. Lineage: Eukaryota; Metazoa; Arthropoda; Insecta; Coleoptera; Buprestidae.